UGGGGAAUAUUGCACAAUGGGCGCAAGCCUGAUGCAGCCAUGCCGCGUGUGUGAAGAAGGCCUUCGGGUUGUAAAGCACUUUCAGCGAGGAGGAAGGUGGUGAGCUUAAUACGCUCAUCAAUUGACGUUACUCGCAGAAGAAGCACCGGCUAACUCCGUGCCAGCAGCCGCGGUAAUACGGAGGGCGCAAGCGUUAAUCGGAAUUACUGGGCGUAAAGCGCACGCAGGCGGUUUGUUAAGUCAGAUGUGAAAUCCCCGGGCUCAACCUGGGAACUGCAUUUGAAACUGGCAAGCUAGAGUCUCGUAGAGGGGGGUAGAAUUCCAGGUGUAGCGGUGAAAUGCGUAGAGAUCUGGAGGAAUACCGGUGGCGAAGGCGGCCCCCUGGACGAAGACUGACGCUCAGGUGCGAAAGCGUGGGGCAGCAAACAGGAUUAGAUACCCUGGUAGUCCACGCUGUAAACGAUGUCGAUUUGGAGGUUGUGCCCUUGAGGCGUGGCUUCCGGAGCUAACGCGUUAAAUCGACCGCCUGGGGAGUACGGCCGCAAGGUUAAAACUCAAAUGAAUUGAC
This 568-nucleotide ribosomal RNA is filed under the name uncultured bacterium. RNAcentral's name for it is "partial 16S ribosomal RNA". It matches the Rfam family "Bacterial small subunit ribosomal RNA", at positions 355 to 914 of the family's 1533-position model. The record is from RNAcentral.